Molecule: ribosomal RNA, 1243 nt
Filed under: Eurysyllis tuberculata
Lineage: Eukaryota; Metazoa; Annelida; Polychaeta; Phyllodocida; Syllidae
Description: SSU rRNA
Rfam family: Eukaryotic small subunit ribosomal RNA
Source: RNAcentral
GCCCGAUGUGGAUAUCUGUAGUAAUUCUAGAGCUAAUACAUGCACGCAAGCACCGAUCCUCCGUGAGAAGUGCGCUUUUAUUAGAACAAGACCGGCGGUGAGGAGUAACUACCGUAGCCCCGUCGUGUUGACUCUGGAUAACUUAGCCGAUCGCACGGCCCUGGACGCCGGCGACGCAUCUUUCAAAUGUCUGACCCAUCAGCUGGUUGGCCGGGUAGUGGCCGGCAAAGGAGGUGACGGGUAACAGAGAAUCAGGGUUCGAUUCUGGAGAGGGAGCCUGAGAAACGGCUACCACGUCCAAGGAAGGCAGCAGGCGCGCAAAUUACCCACUCCCGACUCGGGGAGGUAGUGACGAAAAAUAACGAUAGACGACUCGUUCGAGGCUGUCUAAUCGGAAUGAGUAUAGUCUAAAGCCUUAACACGAGGAGCUAGUAGAGGGCAAGUCUGGUGCCAGCAGCCGCGGUAACUCCAGCUCUACAGGCGUAAACGUGAGUUGUUGUAGUUAAAACGCUCGUCGUUGGAUUUGAACCUAGGCCGCGGCCGGUACGGGGCAGAGUUUCCCCGCUAUCGCGGCGGUCGGUCGCAGGCGAGUUUCUCACACACGGCGGAUCCCCUUGGCUGGGCGUCCGCGGGCUCGCGUACGUUACCUUGAACAAAUGAGGGUGUUCAUGGCAGGCUAGCACACGCCUGGAUAGUCUAGCAUGGAAUAACAGAACUCGACUCCGGUCUUUUUCUGGCUGGUCUCUAGGACUCGGAGGGAUGAUCAAUAAGGACGACCGGGGGCGAUAGUACUCCUGCGUUAGAGGUGAAAUUCUUGGAUCGCAGGAUGACUGACCGCAGCGAAAGCAUUCGCCCAGCACGUCCUCAUUAAUCAAGAACGAAAGUUAGAGGAUCGAAGACGAUCAGAUACCGUCCUAGUUCUGACCAUAAACGAUGCCGACAGGCGAUCGGUCGUAAGUACUUUGCAAACCCUUACACAUGACACGGCCGGCAGCCCUCGGGAAACCAAAGUCUUUGGGUUCCGGGGGUAGUAUGGUUGCAAAGCUGAAACUUAAAGGAAUUGACGGAAGGGCACCACCAGGAGUGGAGCUUGCGGCUUAAUUUGACUCAACACGGGGAACCUCACCUGGGCCGGACACUGCAAGGAUUGACAGAUUGAGAGCUCUUUUCUUGAUUCGGUGGGUGGUGGUGCAUGGCCGUUCUUAGUUCGUGGAGCGAUCUGUCAGGUUAAUUCCGAUACGAA